Molecule: ribosomal RNA, 450 nt
Filed under: uncultured marine bacterium
Lineage: Bacteria
Description: bacterial SSU rRNA
Rfam family: Bacterial small subunit ribosomal RNA
Source: RNAcentral
AAUAUUGCACAAUGGGCGCACGCUUGAUGCAGCCAUGCCGCGUGUAUGAAGAAGGCGUUCGGGUUGUAAGGUACUUUCAGUCGUGAGGAAGUCGUUGAAGUUAAUAGCCUCAUCGUAUGACGUCAGCGACAGAAGAAGCACCGGCUAACUCCGUGCCAGCAGCCGCGGUAAUACGGAGGGUGCGAGCGUUAAUCUGAAUUACUGGGCGUAAAGCGCAUGCAGGUGGUUUGUUAAGUCAGAUGUGAAAGCCCGGGGCUCAACCUCGGAACCGCAUUAGAAACUGGCAGGCUAGAGUACUGUAGAGGGGGGUAGAAUAUCAGGUGUAGCGGUGAAAAGAGUAGAGAUUUGAAGGAAUACCAGCGGCGAAGGCGGCCCCCUGACAGAUACUGACACUCAGAUGCGAAAGCGUGUGAGCAAACAGGAUUAGAUACACUGGUAGUCCACGCCGUA